This 692-nucleotide long non-coding RNA is filed under the name Fukomys damarensis (Damara mole-rat). RNAcentral describes it as "lncRNA (ENSFDAG00000029221.1)". Lineage: Eukaryota; Metazoa; Chordata; Mammalia; Rodentia; Bathyergidae. The record is from RNAcentral.
AUAAUUCCUGCUUCCUGUGGGAAAUGAAGCGGAGGAGGCUCAAGAGUGACGAGGAGAAGCUACUAGGAAGGUGUUCCCAGAGUGACUAUGGAGAGCCCAGGGGUCGCCAGGUGCACACGUGAGCUCUGGGGAUCAGGACGCCUUGGCUCAGAAAGCAGUCAUACACUUGAAAUGACUUGGGGUCCACUUGCAACGCUGAAAAGCAAGGUGGAUAAGCAGCGAGGGUCACGUAAAUCAGACACUGACACCAAGCUGCGUCGGAGCUCCACGGAAGACAGGAAGGCAGCUGUGUGCCACUGGAGUAGACAGUCACCGUGGACGCAGACAGACCCAAGUGCUACAGGAAGCUUCCUAGGUGCUGGGCAGGAGGAGCCUGGCCCUGAACAAUGGCCACCUUAACCCAGGUAAGCAGACGUCCCUCGUAUCCAAACCUCUUCUGCUUCCCGGCCUAAACAUACCCAAGCUGGACAAAAGGCAAGUCCUCACCCAAGGCCAACCUCUAGUCCAAGAAUCCCCAAUCUUUUUGUAGAAAGGAGAAAGUUAAUGCCAAAUGCUACCACUGCAACACAUAAAACGGCAGUAAUGUAGUCUCUCUUUUUCUGUGUUUCACACUGAGUCUUCAAGCACUUCCAAGAAUGUCUCGGAACACAGGCUGCGUCCCAAGGACGUAGCAGCCAGGCAGAUAAGUCCAC